RNAcentral lists this ribosomal RNA (765 nucleotides) under uncultured bacterium. Its description in RNAcentral is "bacterial SSU rRNA". It matches the Rfam family "Bacterial small subunit ribosomal RNA", at positions 93 to 844 of the family's 1533-position model. The record is from RNAcentral.
GAGUGGCGAACGGGUGAGUAACACGAGGGUAACCUGCCCAUCAGAAGGGGAUAACACUUGGAAACAGGUGCUAAUACCGUAUAACACUAUUUUCCGCAUGGAAGAAAGUUGAAAGGCGCUUUUGCGUCACUGAUGGAUGGACCCGCGGUGCAUUAGCUAGUUGGUGAGGUAACGGCUCACCAAGGCCACGAUGCAUAGCCGACCUGAGAGGGUGAUCGGCCACACUGGGACUGAGACACGGCCCAGACUCCUACGGGAGGCAGCAGUAGGGAAUCUUCGGCAAUGGACGAAAGUCUGACCGAGCAACGCCGCGUGAGUGAGGAAGGUUUUCGGAUCGUAAAACUCUGUUGUUAGAGAAGAACAAGGAUGAGAGUAGAACGUUCAUCCCUUGACGGUAUCUAACCAGAAAGCCACGGCUAACUACGUGCCAGCAGCCGCGGUAAUACGUAGGUGGCAAGCGUUGUCCGGAUUUAUUGGGCGUAAAGCGAGCGCAGGCGGUUUCUUAGGUCUGAUGUGAAAGCCCCCGGCUCAACCGGGGAGGGUCAUUGGAAACUGGGAGACUUGAGUGCAGAAGAGGAGAGUGGAAUUCCAUGUGUAGCGGUGAAAUGCGUAGAUAUAUGGAGGAACACCAGUGGCGAGGGCGGCUCUCUGGUCUGUAACUGACGCUGAGGCUCGAAAGCGUGGGGAGCGAACAGGAUUAGAUACCCUGGUAGUCCACGCCGUAAACGAUGAGUGCUAAGUGUUGGAGGGUUUCCGCCCUUCAGU